Mycena metata is the source of this 89-nucleotide non-coding RNA. Lineage: Eukaryota; Fungi; Basidiomycota; Agaricomycetes; Agaricales; Mycenaceae. The record is from the annotation of a GenBank genome assembly.
UCCACUAUGGUACAGUGGUAAAAGCACCCCGCAAAAAAAAAACAUAAACAAUAAGCGGGUGGUUGGAGGUUCGAAUCCUUCAGGUGGCA